UCCACUUCUCUACCAACUUUGUCUCCACUUCUAUACCCACUCUUCCUUUCUCCCUCUGACUCCAUCAAUCUCUUUGGUUGAAGGUGUUGUUUUAGAAACUCACACAAACAUGCUUCCUCCAUUUUUAUUCUUCUUGAUUUUCCUUUUUCUUCUGCAUGUUUAUUGUUUUCCAUUUUUAAGCUAAGAUCCUCGCCUAUUAUUUGAACUUUUAAAUGUUUGAAUAUUUGCUUCUAAAUAACUUGAUUCAUCUAUUUUUUUCUUCAUUUAAAGCUAUGAAC
Molecule: long non-coding RNA, 278 nt
Filed under: Lathyrus oleraceus (garden pea)
Lineage: Eukaryota; Viridiplantae; Streptophyta; Magnoliopsida; Fabales; Fabaceae
Description: Pisum sativum (pea) long non-coding RNA (PSAT_LNC019727)
Source: RNAcentral